This 253-nucleotide ribosomal RNA is filed under the name uncultured bacterium. RNAcentral's name for it is "partial 16S ribosomal RNA". It matches the Rfam family "Bacterial small subunit ribosomal RNA", at positions 524 to 776 of the family's 1533-position model. The record is from RNAcentral.
UACAGAGGUCCCAAGCGUUGUUCGGAUUCACUGGGCGUAAAGGGUGCGUAGGCGGUCGGGUAAGUCUGAUGUGAAAUCUCACAGCUUAACUGUGAAACUGCAUUGGAUACUAUCCGGCUCGAGGAAUGGAGGGGAGACUGGAAUACUUGGUGUAGCAGUGAAAUGCGUAGAUAUCAAGUGGAACACCAGUGGCGAAGGCGAGUCUCUGGACAUUUCCUGACGCUGAGGCACGAAAGCCAGGGGAGCAAACAGG